Macrosteles quadrilineatus (aster leafhopper) is the source of this 1810-nucleotide long non-coding RNA. RefSeq lists it as uncharacterized. The transcript is spliced from 2 exons. NCBI's taxonomy places the organism in Eukaryota, Metazoa, Arthropoda, Insecta, Hemiptera, Cicadellidae. The record is from RefSeq and is a predicted model, not a curated record.
AAGCAACAGAGCGGCGGCGACGCAGAGUGCGACAGUAGUACUGACGUCACUGGUACUGUGGCUGAGGCUCAUGUUGAGGCCAGGGGUGUUCUAGUAUCACCAACACUCUAUUAGGUCUCAAGGCGGAUCCAGAGGGGGUGUCUUAAAGCCUUCCCACUACUGAAGUCUUCAUCAAAUACUCUUUAAUUUAUAUUGUACAGGUGUUACCAAAUAAAGUGUAAAUAACAGAAAAAACUUUAUUUCCGUGUCUCGGGGAAAGUAUGAUACAAAUAGGAUACCAUACGAACUGUAAAAAAAAGUAUUUUAAAUUUAACAUUGAGUGUCAACAUAGCAUUCUUAAAUAUAUUAAGUUUAUUAUUUAGAAUAAAAGUAGGGUUUUACAUUUUUAGAACAAUCGAGCGUUAUACGUUUUUUAUCAAUGAAUUAAAAAUACUUAGAUUUAAUAAUAUUCUUCCAUUAUAGUUAACAGUGUAUUUCUUGUAAAUAUGUAAAAUGCUAUGUAUAUAGCUUGUACUGUAUUUUAAAAUAUAAUAUUUAUAUACUAAGACCUAUUUUAAUACUAUAUUAGUAUGUUUAAAUGUGAGCAUUCCUACAAUAAAUUGUAUUCCUUUUAUAAAUACAGGGUAUUGCUAGUGACUUUUACAUUUCUGUAUUGAGGCUUCGAAGUUUAUGUGUUUUUGUCAAAAAAUAGUGAUGUACGUUUUAAAUGUUGGUGCAAUACGAAAAUGGUGAUUAUUUACUAAAAAAAUAUAGUUUAAAUCCGCUACACGUUCACAAGUAGGCAUAUUAUAGCAAUUGUGGUGCAUAUUCCAAACUCUUGUUUAUUUCAAAGCUAUAAUCAAAUAAAUGUUACUGUAUACUUUUACGAAGGCUUGUGGCUCGAAGAAGGUUUGCAACGUUCAAAUAUGAAGAAUUACAACUCAGACUUUCUAAGCUUAUUCACCGUAUUAUUACGUGGAUUUGAAAUACUUCAAAACUUAAUGUUAUAGCAGAUGAGAAACAGAUUUAUUUAUUUUAUUUUAUGUCACACGUUUUAAUUAUUGUUUUUGGAGUGUUUUCAGUUAGGUACUGGUUGUUACAUAUUUUACUGUGAAAUAUAUUUUUCCACCGCUAGACUCAGGAGCUAUUUCACAAUUGAUAUAAAAUCUACAGCUCAUUGUCUAUUUCAGUUUUCUUCACGUGUGAUUUCAUGUAUAUUUAAAAAUAUUUUAAUAUGCCGUUUUGAAAAUUUCUUAACAAAAAAUAAAUAAAUGGUCUACAAUUGAAUAUUGAAGUAACGGUACACAAUUGUUAAUUCAAAAAAUGUUUUAGAAUUGUCGCAAUUUGUAAAAAGUGUUAUUUUCAAUGUUCUCUCUUAAAUAAAUAUUACAUUUAAAUAGUUCAUGGAAUCUUAUUUGUUUUAUUAUCACACUUUCCCGCUUAUUUGUGUAUUUUUCAAAAUACACGAAUCAAUGUCAUUGUUGAAUAGAAAAUGUAAAAAUCUUCUGACUUUUUACUAAACACUUGUUUGUCCAAGCAAAAUUAAACUUAAUUUUGCAAUUUUAAUAUACAUAAUGAAUUAUAUAGGUUUAAAUGAAACAUUGUAACAUAAUUUCAUUUCGAUACUCGUAUAAGGAAAUAUGGUUUGUGGAUAUUGUGUGAAUUCACCACAAACAGGUUUAAAAUAUUCAAUAAAUAAUUGGAUUUACGUACAUUAGUAAGAAUGUAGCCAUAUAAAUUUUUAUUUUUAUAUAUGGAUCUUAAAGGUCUUCCUCGUUCGUAUAUUAUUUGUAAGGUAUUGCUAAAGAUUGAUAUUCUAAUUUCAAACUUC